UACGUAGGGUGCGAGCGUUGUCCGGAAUUAUUGGGCGUAAAGAGCUUGUAGGCGGUUUGUCGCGUCUGCUGUGAAAAUCCGGGGCUCAACCCCGGACUUGCAGUGGGUACGGGCAGACUAGAGUGUGGUAGGGGAGACUGGAAUUCCUGGUGUAGCGGUGGAAUGCGCAGAUAUCAGGAGGAACACCGAUGGCGAAGGCAGGUCUCUGGGCCGAUACUGACGCUGAGGCACGAAAGCCAGGGGAGCAAACGGG
Molecule: ribosomal RNA, 253 nt
Filed under: uncultured bacterium
Lineage: Bacteria
Description: partial 16S ribosomal RNA
Rfam family: Bacterial small subunit ribosomal RNA
Source: RNAcentral